Medicago truncatula (barrel medic) is the source of this 74-nucleotide microRNA precursor. It matches the Rfam family "MIR5272 microRNA precursor family". The record is from Rfam. NCBI's taxonomy places the organism in Eukaryota, Viridiplantae, Streptophyta, Magnoliopsida, Fabales, Fabaceae.
UUAGAUGUAAAUUGAUUUAUGUUUGGAUGCACUCAUUUAAAAGUAAUUCAUAUGAAUUGAUGUUGUUUGGAUAG